ACUCAAAUGAAUUGACGGGGGCCCGCACAAGCAGUGGAGCAUGUGGUUUAAUUCGAAGCAACGCGAAGAACCUUACCAGGUCUUGACAUCCCUUUGACCGAUCUAGAGAUAGAUUUUCCCUUCGGGGCAGAGGAGACAGGUGGUGCAUGGUUGUCGUCAGCUCGUGUCGUGAGAUGUUGGGUUAAGUCCCGCAACGAGCGCAACCCUUGAUCUUAGUUGCCAGCAUUCAGUUGGGCACUCUAAGGUGACUGCCGGUGACAAACCGGAGGAAGGUGGGGAUGACGUCAAAUCAUCAUGCCCCUUAUGACCUGGGCUACACACGUGCUACAAUGGCUGGUACAGAGGGCAGCAAGACCGCGAGGUUAAGCGAAUCCCUUAAAGCCAGUCUCAGUUCGGAUCGUAGGCUGCAACUCGCCUACGUGAAGUCGGAAUUGCUAGUAAUCGCGGAUCAGCAUGCCGCGGUGAAUACGUUCCCGGGCCUUGUACACACCGCCCGU
RNAcentral lists this ribosomal RNA (497 nucleotides) under uncultured bacterium. Its description in RNAcentral is "partial 16S ribosomal RNA". It matches the Rfam family "Bacterial small subunit ribosomal RNA", at positions 899 to 1397 of the family's 1533-position model. The record is from RNAcentral.